CUCCAUGUUGGUCAGGCUGGUGUCGAAGUCCUGACCUCAAGUGAUCCACCCGCCUCGGCCUCCCAAAGUGCUGGAAUUACAGGCGUGAGCCACGGUGCCUGGCCAAAAGUCUCCAUAUUAUUAAACAAUCUUCAGAAGCACAGUGCUGAAUGACUACAGUAAUAAUAUUCUGCCAUGGAUAUAUCAUAAUUUACUUAACAAUUCUUGUUUUAUUGGGCAUUUUUGAUGGAGGAUGAUGACAUUUUCAUAUUUAAUCAAUAUUUUAAAUUGAUGUAUUGAAAGUUGAGAACAUGAAGGUUUCUUUUGUUUAGUUUUGUUUGUUGGGUAUGUAUUACACUGUCUGACUUGAGCUUUAUUCACAUUUGCUCUCUAGGUUAUCCAAGGACAUGGAAAAGCCAACACCAUGGUAGCAUUAAUGAAAGUUUACCAAGAGGAAGAUGAAGCCUACCAGGAAUUAGUUACCAUGGCAACCAUGUUUUUCCAGUACUUACUGCAGCCAUUUAGGGCUAUGCGAGAAGUUGCAACUUUAUAAUUCCUUGGAUGAGGAUGACGUAGGUCCUACGUCUCCAGGAUAGUUGCCCUGGAGAAAGAAGCUGAAGAAUGGACCAGACGGGCUGAAGAAGCUGUUGUCUCUAUUCAAGAUAUCACAGUGAAUUAUUUUAAUUAGACAGUAAAAGCAUUAGCAGGAAUGCAAAAAGAAAUGGAACAGGAUGUGAAGAGAUUUGGCCAGGCUGCCUGGGCCACAGCAAUUCCCAGGUUGGAAAAACUUAAGCUAAUGCUAGCUCAAGAGACUCUGCAACUCAUGAGAGCGAAAGAAUUGUAUUUAAAUCGCAAAAGAGCUGAAAUUCAGGGAAAGAUGGAAGAUCUUCCAGAACAAGAAAAAAAUAUAAAUGUUGUAGAUGAAUUAGAAAUGCAAUUUUAUGAAAUUCAGUUAGAACUAUAUGAAGUUAAAUUUGAGAUAUUAAAAAACGAAGAAAUACUGCUUACUACACAGUUGGACUCUCUUAAAAGACUUAUAAAAGAAAAACAGGAUGAAGUUGUCUAUUACGAUCCAUGUGAAAGUCCAGAGGAACUUAGUCAUUGACUGUGGUGGGGCUGCAGGACGAUAAGAAUUCGGAAGUGAAAGAACUCAGAAGGCAGUGCCAGCAGCUGGAGUCUGUUAAACGGGGCAGUCUGUGUCAAAAGAGCUUCUCUCCAGAGUAGAAAGAGACGGGGUUUCGCCAUGUUGGCUAGGCAUUUUCUCAGCAGUAAAUUACCAGUGCCCUUACUUGCCAUGAUACCCACAACAGGCAGAGGCAGUUUCCUGAGGCAAUCCAGGCCACAAAGAACUGUACAUUUGGGGAAAACAUAUCUUCAAAUAUAUAUGUUAAACUCUAAAAAAUUGGUUAGUAUGUAUUACUUUUGUGGAUACUUAAACAUUCCCUAUGCAUAAAGACCUAGUUAAAGAGAUGCAGGCUUUUGGCAUGUUAAAUAACUCCUUGAUGAGAAAUCACACUAUGAAUAAUAAAUAUGACUUAAUAAAAAUGAAAAAUAAUGAGAUUAGUUACUAUUGAACUAUUCUUGCUUA
RNA transcript from Homo sapiens (human), 1567 nucleotides. It is a transcript of the gene named WHAMM pseudogene 1, with no coding region annotated. NCBI's taxonomy places the organism in Eukaryota, Metazoa, Chordata, Mammalia, Primates, Hominidae. The transcript is spliced from 7 exons. The record is from RefSeq and is marked validated.